Esox lucius (northern pike) is the source of this 1945-nucleotide long non-coding RNA. Lineage: Eukaryota; Metazoa; Chordata; Actinopteri; Esociformes; Esocidae. The record is from Ensembl.
CUCAAGAUAUUGUAGUUUGAAUACACCCAUAUCAAAGGCAAACCCAAAGUUGAAACCCCCCCACCUUUUUGGUGUUCUGCAUAUUAAAACCCCUUGAACGUAAGUACCCCAGAUCUGGGGUACUAAACUAGAAGAUGGGCAGUAGUAUCAGAAAGGUUUAACCAAUCCGCUAAAGCUAGAUGUUGUCUGAAAGCUGUGAAUCUCCUCUUUCCGGUCGUGUAUAAUACCUCUGUCCUAGGUCUUACUACCUUUUAUGGGCAUGCAGCAAUGUAUGACCCCCCCCCCCCCACGACACCAACACAAGAUGGCUGCUACCUAGUCUCAGCGUCGAAUUUUUAUGAAACUAGUCAAAGUAAUGAUUUACAUCGAAGCCAGACACUCCAUCGAGCAGAAUAACAUCUUAUAUGGCUGCCUGGGGGCUACUAUUAUCGAUCCAGACCUCUGAGAGUCAACAUCUUCAUUGGAAAAUCCGUUUUCAACAAAUACCAUACCUCUCACAAGAUGUCCUAGGUGGGGGAUAGCCACUCCAAGGAAACCUUCGCGCAAAAGGUACCAUUGUUAUUCUGCUCUGGAACGAGGCGCAUGGCGCACGCUACUCAGCUAUUGUAAACAAUUAGAUUCAGCGAUUAUACAAUAAUUAUGGCUUCGCAAGGAGUAAAGAGAAGCAAAAAACGAAGAAUAUUGAGCAGGGGGCUAAAGAAAACGAGUAAAUUGUCCGUCUUGGAGGCUUUGCAUGCUGUAGUCUCAUGGACUCUGACGUUAGCGGUUUGGACCUGGGCUAUCUGUUGAUGGAUUGGAUCCACUAGUAGAUCGAGAGAAAGAUCUGAAGAUGAGGACUGGCAGCCAUCCCUCCCCAGCAAGCGCCCCUGCUCCUCAAUGUCUCCACCCCCCACAGUUGUGUCUACCACCCCCACUCCAGGCCAGACAUUUCUUUUGGGGGAAAUUUUUUAGGGAAAUCUUUUGGGGAAUUUCUAUCUAUUGCUGUUUAUAAUAAGAUUGAUAGUUUUUAUACUUUCUGUAGUGUUGUUUUUAUAGUGAAUAUGUACUUUUAGGCACAUCCAAUGUGCAAAAACAGUGCCAUUUAUAAAUAGUUGUCAGUUAUUGGAUUUUGCACUACUUUAUAAAUGUUUGAUAACACAUUUAGUUUUUUGACCUUUUAUUCAUCACACUUUAUUGCUUUUAUAAUGGGAUUGAUUGUUUUUAUAUUACUUAUAAUGUGGUUUUUAUAGUGAAUAUUUACUUUUAGGCACAUCCAAUGUGCAAUAACAGUGCAAUUACCCUUUCGGGACACUUUGGAGAGGUUGAAAGGACACUUGAAUGUAUGGCACAUUAUAAUAAAAUAAUAGUUGUAAAAAAAAUUUAUAUAAAAUUUUUAUUAAUUUUUUUUUUUUUUGAUAUUUACAUUUUUGGCACAUCCAGUCUGCUGAAACAGAGCAAUUAUCACAUUAGGCCACUUUGGAGAGGUUUAGGGACACUUGGGAACGUCUAUUGACACCACACACUAAAACAGCUGCCCAGCUCAUACUCUUAUGUGUAUCAAGUUAAAAUUUUUUGGUGAUGAUGGUGACAUGUUUGGGAAGCCAUUUGUUGUGUUUUCAGGCUAGAACAGCCAUAAUUGAAUGAUUGCUUGUUUUUCAAAAAACCUAAUUAACAUAAAAAUGAGUAAAAACGGUUAGAAACUUUUGUGUUUCAUCUUCUGUAUUUAGAACUCCCUCAUUCCCUCAUAUAUUCUGAUUAUUUCCUCAUAAUCUCCCAGGUGUCUUGUUUCCAAAGAUACCAGGAUUGUGCAUGUCCUAACAACAUAAGUCCACAUGAAUAGCAGUUACUUUUGGGUAUGUCUAUUUAGGCGGAAAUUAGCAUUUCUGCAUUUACAUUCAACAGGUUAAGACCUGUGGAUUGAAAAUGGAUCCCUGUUAAAGUAUGCAAACUACUUUUUGGAUAAAAU